UACCAGCGCUCGGUGAGGGCGGGCGGCACUCGGUGUGGUGACGAAUUUUAGUUGAAAUACCGCUGUUGUCUUUAAAAGUGCCGGCCUGUCUGGUCAGCCGUCUGAGGCGGCGCCGCCACCCCUCUGUCGCCUGGACGGCCACCGGAGAGGAGUCGGGCCCCGCCACCGGUCCCGCGUCCCAUCGACCUGUCAUGCUCGCAACGCAUUGCGUUGUGUGAUCAGCCGUCUGGGGCGGUGCCGCCACCCCUCUGUGUUCGCUGGACGACCACCGGGAGAGAGAGAGAGAGAGCGCGCCCCCGGUCCGGUGUCGGACCGACCUGUCAACAAACAGACUCGGAACGCUCAUGUGCGGCAGUACGUGCGUCGCCGUUGGUACCGAGACUGGAAACGUCCAUCUGCCGGUCAAAACUGGACUGCGGCCGACGGGAACUCCAGAUCUCUCACAGCUCGCGGGUUGGUGAACCAGCUUGAUUGGGAAUCUCCGGCGACCUCACACCUGGACGAAAG
RNAcentral lists this long non-coding RNA (507 nucleotides) under Amphibalanus amphitrite. Its description in RNAcentral is "uncharacterized LOC122376119, transcript variant X2". Lineage: Eukaryota; Metazoa; Arthropoda; Thecostraca; Balanomorpha; Balanidae. The record is from RNAcentral.